AUUAUGGAGAGUUUGAUCCUGGCUCAGGAUGAACGCUGGCGGCGUGCCUAAUACAUGCAAGUCGAACGAACCAUAUAAAUGGUGAGUGGCGAACGGGUGAGUAACACGUAGGUAACCUGCCCUUAAGACGAGGAUAACCGUUGGAAACGAUGGCUAAGACUGGAUAGGAACAUUGAAGGCAUCUUCGAUGUUUUAAAAGACCUAGCAAUAGGUAUGCUUAAGGAGGGGCCUGCGGCGCAUUAGUUAGUUGGUGGGGUGAAAGCUUACCAAGACGAUGAUGCGUAGCCGGACUGAGAGGUUGAACGGCCACAUUGGGACUGAGAGACGGCCCAAACUCCUACGGGAGGCAGCAGUAGGGAAUUUUCGGCAAUGGGGGAAACCCUGACCGAGCAACGCCGCGUGAAUGA
Molecule: ribosomal RNA, 407 nt
Filed under: Acholeplasmataceae bacterium
Lineage: Bacteria; Bacillati; Mycoplasmatota; Mollicutes; Acholeplasmatales; Acholeplasmataceae
Description: bacterial SSU rRNA
Rfam family: Bacterial small subunit ribosomal RNA
Source: RNAcentral